GCUGCAUCUUUGCUGUCAAGCAGAGAUGGGGAAAGGAGUAUGUAUGUACUCCGUGUUUCUGUGUUGGACACGGGGAGAAAGGAGAUGUCUGAGGGCCAGUGCAAGCAAAGGGGAGAGCAAGGGGUGUUCCUCAGCCAGCUCCCCACUCUCACAAGCACUGCUCAUGUUGUGGCUGUUCUCAGGGAGAGCCAAGAGUAAAGCCGCUGGGCAGACUCCCUGCCACACAUUCACCAGAGGCCCAGACUUUGGUCAUGGUAGGACAACCUGCUGUGUAGCCAGACGCAGGGGUGCGGAGCCGGAAGUCUUGAUUUGCUCAACCUCUUUACUUUCGGGGAGUAGUGAGUCCUGGAGUUCUUCUUUGGGGGAAGAGCUGCUGGCAGUUUUGAAAGGUGUGGACAGAAAGUGUUCCUCCUGGGCUCUUCCCUGGCAGCUGUGUUGUCAGGAGCAGGUUUCCAAAACAGUGGCUUUUGUGCCUGGAAGUGGUAAUCCAGCUGGUUUGCUCGAAACCUGGCUCAUUGACAGACAUAGGACACCCUCCUUUUUCAGGCAAAAGAUGGCCGUGCACAAGAAGAGGUUCUUGAGAUUCAUUGUCUUCUUGCUUCCAGUGGUUCUUGGCAACCAGGAGGAGACCACGGUGCUUCAGGGACCACUAGCAACCCAGGUCAAGUGACUGUCUCUUGGUGAUGUGAAUUGCAGCUGGUGUUUACUGUGGGACCUCACUGCCAGCGUGGACAAUGCAGGCAAAGGCACAGAGAGAGGUUGGUGGACCCUCUGGGACAGGCAGCUCCUGCAAGGGAGCAUUGCUGACAGUGGCUGGCUAAAUCGUGGGCUUUUCUGUGUCCACACAGAGUGAGCCAAAGAAGCAGUGGCUUUUGCCGGGGCUUCCUAGGGAAGCCUCUCCUGGGAAGCCCCAGCAGCUCUGGUGGUGGAUACUCUAACAGAGAGUUUUUCCCUUUCAGGCUCUGACAGGGGCAGCCGCAGCAGAAACAAAGAUGCUGAGGAAUUUGCACGCCUUGUUGACAGAGCAAACCCAAAAGUUGCAGCUUCUGCUGGAGGAGGUGGCUCAGCUGGAGGUGGAGAUAAGCCGUUUGAAGAAGGUAACCCUGCAUUUUGGAGAAGAAGGCUUGGCUGGGCAGAAGCCCUGAGGAAGCACUACCUGGGAUUAGUAGUGGGUUCAGCCUGCUGAGCGCAGCAAGCCAGCUUGUGCCAGGGGAUUGCUGGGUGAGCUUUGGCACUGCCCAGGCCCUUCUCUGGGCCCAGGUUAACUGGUGCUUCAGGCAGUAGGAAUCUCCCAGCAUUCUUCCCUUGGCACGGGCACCUUUGGCUGCUCUGGCUGGGCCCUGAGCAGCAGGGAGACCCAGGCCCACUCCCAUGGCCAGCCUUUGUGGACAUGGCCUGAGCAUGGAAGGUGGGAACAAGGGAGUGAGGACCCCAUGGUCGUGGCCACAUAUACUGUGCUUGUGGCUCACGUCAGCUGCAGUCUCUCAGCUUACUGGACAAGGCUUGCCUUGUG
This is an RNA transcript of Pezoporus occidentalis (night parrot), 1513 nucleotides long. RefSeq lists it as uncharacterized. The transcript is spliced from 3 exons. NCBI's taxonomy places the organism in Eukaryota, Metazoa, Chordata, Aves, Psittaciformes, Psittacidae. The record is from RefSeq and is a predicted model, not a curated record.